This 196-nucleotide non-coding RNA is filed under the name Planctomycetota bacterium. RNAcentral describes it as "6S RNA". It matches the Rfam family "6S / SsrS RNA". From Rfam's summary of the family: E. coli 6S RNA was the first non coding RNA to be sequenced, but its function was unknown until recently. It consists of 184 nucleotides that fold into an extended hairpin structure with a large single-stranded internal bulge. The 6S RNA specifically associates with RNA polymerase holoenzyme containing the sigma70 specificity factor. The record is from RNAcentral. Lineage: Bacteria; Pseudomonadati; Planctomycetota.
CGCUUACUGUGGUGUUCGCCAGGCUGACGCUAAAGUUUGCGGCGCCGAUGAACGUGCACGGGGAGGACAAUCUCGCCCUGUCAAAAUUCAAGCCCUCCCACUUCGAUGAGGGACGGGUUGGACAGGUCGGAAACCACCCACCUUGCUCAUACAGGGUGCACAAACUGUCCAGCGCAGCGGCACUGACGGUUCGCUG